Molecule: long non-coding RNA, 660 nt
Organism: Meriones unguiculatus (Mongolian gerbil)
Lineage: Eukaryota; Metazoa; Chordata; Mammalia; Rodentia; Muridae
Exons: 3
Source: RefSeq, a predicted model, not a curated record
GGGUCACUUAGAUGCCAAUUUCACUGUUUCAUCAGCUUUGGAAUUCUGUACUCAUGAAUCCACUCUCAACUACUAAACUAUUUCUGAAGAUCUCACCUUUAGAAACGUACAAAGCAUGCCGUUAAAUAAAGUUGGACGACAAGAAGUUAGACCUUUCUCGAAUGUUCAAUGCUGUGUCUCAUAUUUAAACUCCUGAUUUCUAUGUGUAUAUCAGAAUAUAACUAUACUAAAGGUCCAAGUCUGGUGCUGAGAGCAUCCUCCAUCACUCUCCACCUUACUUUGUGGUGGUACGGUCUCCCAGAUGAACCCACAGCUCACCAUUUCAGUUAGCCUUGCUAGUCAGCUUGCUCCAAGGAUCCCAUCCAUCUCCACCUUCGGAGGCCGAAAUCGACUGAACUGACAACCAGAAAGCCUGCAUAGAACUGAUCUAGUUCCUCUGCGCGUAUGUUACAGUUGUGUAGCUGGGUGUUCUUGUGGGAGCAGGGGCUUUACAAUGUAAUUUUGUGUGGUAUUUGUCAAACUAUACAUUUUAUAUUUCUAUUGCUGGGCAAACCCAAAUACAUUAUGUCUCACAAAGAGUUGCCUCUUAAUAAUUAUAUGUUGAAAACAUUUUCUCGGGUUUCCUGGAAAUUUUUCAAAAUAUAUGAUUGUAAUAAUUCA